GACGAACGCUGGCGGCGUGCUUAACACAUGCAAGUCGAACGGAAAGGCCCUGCUUUUGUGGGGUGCUCGAGUGGCGAACGGGUGAGUAACACGUGAGUAACCUGCCCUUGACUUUGGGAUAACUUCAGGAAACUGGGGCUAAUACCGGAUAGGAGCUCCUGCUGCAUGGUGGGGGUUGGAAAGUUUCGGCGGUUGGGGAUGGACUCGCGGCUUAUCAGCUUGUUGGUGGGGUAGUGGCUUACCAAGGCUUUGACGGGUAGCCGGCCUGAGAGGGUGACCGGCCACAUUGGGACUGAGAUACGGCCCAGACUCCUACGGGAGGCAGCGGUGGGGAAUAUUGCACAAUGGGCGGAAGCCUGAUGCAGCAACGCCGCGUGCGGGAUGACGGCCUUCGGGUUGUAAACCGCUUUCGCCUGUGACGAAGCGUGAGUGACGGUAAUGGGUAGAGAAGCACCGGCUAACUACGUG
This 468-nucleotide ribosomal RNA is filed under the name uncultured bacterium. RNAcentral's name for it is "partial 16S ribosomal RNA". It matches the Rfam family "Bacterial small subunit ribosomal RNA", at positions 28 to 507 of the family's 1533-position model. The record is from RNAcentral.